Long non-coding RNA from Homo sapiens (human), 1811 nucleotides. RefSeq lists it as uncharacterized. The record is from RefSeq and is a predicted model, not a curated record. The transcript is spliced from 4 exons. Lineage: Eukaryota; Metazoa; Chordata; Mammalia; Primates; Hominidae.
UUCCAGUGUGUACAGCCUUUGGGCAGUCAGGCGUCAAGACGCGGCCAUUCUCUCCCACACUCCCAGUGAUGGAUAAUCUGGCUUUGUUUCUUAUGGCUUCAGAAAAGGACACAAAUAUUGCUGACGUCUCUGAUGGAAAAACUGCUGUAUUGCCUAAAAUGUCUAUUUACCUUAGUGAUACUUUGAGCAUAAAAGUUGAAUUUCAUCUAAUAAAUGUGAAUUGUAGUCAAAAUUCUGAUGAUCACUCUUCCUUAAAGGUCUGGCUCAAGGACUACCAUCAGAACUCUAUCAAAGCCACCAGCAUUGCCAAGCCCAAGCCGCCAACCAGAAUGUAGAAGACGCCUGCUACAUUGCUCAGGCUCAAGGCACUCGUCUUGUCCUAGGGGGGAUAAAGACACUUCAGUUAACUGUGGAAAUGUCACAUCCAAAAGGUGAAGCCUCUUGGCUGAGGACUGCUAUGGUCAGAACUUCACAGCACUGAGAGUGGCUGUCAGGUGAGUGGGGAUGCUAAUUACUGCACGGCCUGGAGUGUGACAGGGAAGCUGCUGCAGCGACCCCAAAUAGUCUAAUUGUUCCUUAUAUUAAAUCAUGAGCUCCUUGAGGGAAAGAACAGUGGUAAUUCUGUUUCUAUACAGGUACUGGCACAUGGCCCCAUUCAAACACAAGUUUAAUAAUUUGCUGCUGAAUGGAAGGCUGGAGAGGUUACAGUCCUGUGAAUGACAAGUGAGUCAGCUCUCUCACAGAAACCUUUCCAUGUGUGGUACAGGUUUCCAUAUUUCCCUUCUUCAUUAGAUGAGUCACUGUUGGGAUAGUUAGUUUUCUCCUACCAAGAUUCUGUAUUUGAAGGUCAGCUAAGCCAGGAUUUCAGCAUGUGUGUGCUGAGUUCUCUCUGUAUUUUCCCUUCUGCACUGAAUUGGCAGCAUUGGUCUUUUCUGCUUUAGUUUUACACACAAAGGCUUUAGAGUCAGUUGCAUUUCUCACUUCAGGACUUUUUCUCCUUAUUUUACAUCUUUUGAUGAAGAUCAGGCCAAAUGGGAGGGGUAAGGUAAGUUUACAAAGAAAAUCAGUCACCUGAAAAAGGUACAAAAUGAAAAUGAAAAAGCAACAACUGUCUCCUAGUAAUUUAUUUCGAUUUAAGUUAGGUCAGGCCAUUUAAAAUAUCAUCUUGUAUGACAAAUGCAGAGUAGGGUAUUAUUAACAUUUAGAGUGCAACAAUCUAUUCUCUUGAUAAACCUUAGACCAAUAACAACCUACGUGGAUUUUUUUUUUUUUUUGGUAUACAAACACAUUCCUGGAGGAAAAAAUAAAACAUAAUGUAUUUCAUUUUGGGAGAACAUUUUAUGUUAAUUUUUUAUAACAUUUUGGAAACCUACUUGUUAAAAUUUGAAAUAGCGUUCAUUCUAAAACAUUUUGUAGUUCAUGUUUGGUGAAAGUAAUGUCACUGCAUAACUAUAAGAAGAAGCAAUUCGGCUUUGGAAACUACAGGGUUAGAGAGAAAUUUAUUCUUUUGGACAACAAAUAUUUAUGUCCAACAAAUAAAAAUGUCCAUUAUGUACCAAACAAUGAGUUGGAUACAAGCUAAUUAAAUCUGACUGAGUUGUCCAGUUCAUUUCAAUAAAUUAGAAUGACUUUUGUUACAUAGAUUUUUCUAACAUAUAUAUGUUUCUGUUAUGCUUGCUUAUUUUUCUCCAGAAAACAUCUUUAAUGCACGCUAAAAUGGGACUUCAUUAUUUAUAUUUGUGGAAAAUUUUAUCUGUAAAGCAGUGUUUUACUUCUCCUGUAUUUGUGAUAAUAAAAAUUUGAAAACUAAA